CUCGUAGGUGGUUUGUCGCGUUGUUCGUGAAAUCUCACGGCUUAACUGUGAGCGUGCGGGCGAUACGGGCAGACUUGAGUACUGCAGGGGAGACUGGAAUUCCUGGUGUAGCGGUGGAAUGCGCAGAUAUCAGGAGGAACACCGGUGGCGAAGGCGGGUCUCUGGGCAGUAACUGACGCUGAGGAGCGAAAGCGUGGGGAGCGAACAGGAUUAGAUACCCUGGUAGUCCACGCCGUAAACGGUGGGUACUAGGUGUGGGUUUCCUUCCUUGGGAUCCGUGCCGUAGCUAACGCAUUAAGUACCCCGCCUGGGGAGUACGGCCGCAAGGCUAAAACUCAAAGAAAUUGACGGGGGCCCGCACAAGCGGCGGAGCAUGUGGAUUAAUUCGAUGCAACGCGAAGAACCUUACCUGGGCUUGACAUGCACAGGACGCCGGCAGAGAUGUCGGUUCCCUUGUGGCCUGUGUGCAGGUGGUGCAUGGCUGUCGUCAGCUCGUGUCGUGAGAUGUUGGGUUAAGUCCCGCAACGAGCGCAACCCUUGUCUCAUGUUGCCAGCGGGUAAUGCCGGGGACUCGUGAGAGACUGCCGGGGUCAACUCGGAGGAAGGUGGGGAUGACGUCAAGUCAUCAUGCCCCUUAUGUCCAGGGCUUCACACAUGCUACAAUGGCCGGUACAAAGGGCUGCGAUGCCGCGAGGUUAAGCGAAUCCUUUUAAAGCCGGUCUCAGUUCGGAUCGGGGUCUGCAACUCGACCCCGUGAAGUCGGAGUCGCUAG
This 772-nucleotide ribosomal RNA is filed under the name uncultured Mycobacterium sp. RNAcentral's name for it is "bacterial SSU rRNA". It matches the Rfam family "Bacterial small subunit ribosomal RNA", at positions 568 to 1338 of the family's 1533-position model. Lineage: Bacteria; Bacillati; Actinomycetota; Actinomycetes; Mycobacteriales; Mycobacteriaceae. The record is from RNAcentral.